RNAcentral lists this non-coding RNA (176 nucleotides) under Shewanella sp. RNAcentral describes it as "FMN sequence". It matches the Rfam family "FMN riboswitch aptamer (RFN element)". Rfam says of the family: The RFN element is a highly conserved domain that is found frequently in the 5'-untranslated regions of prokaryotic mRNAs that encode for flavin mononucleotide (FMN) biosynthesis and transport proteins. This element is a metabolite-dependent riboswitch that directly binds FMN in the absence of proteins. The record is from RNAcentral. RNAcentral also lists the same sequence under 1 other name. Lineage: Bacteria; Pseudomonadati; Pseudomonadota; Gammaproteobacteria; Alteromonadales; Shewanellaceae.
UUUAAUUCUCAGGGCGGGGCGAAAUUCCCCACCGGCGGUGAUGUUAACUUACCCUAAUGUAAACUUAACUAAGCCCGCGAGCGCUCGAUUCGUCGAGGUCAGCAGAUUUGGUGAUGUAGAUGUAAUGUCUACGAUUCCAGAGCCGACGGUUAUAGUCCGGAUGAGAGAGAAUAGAA